This 520-nucleotide ribosomal RNA is filed under the name uncultured bacterium. RNAcentral describes it as "bacterial SSU rRNA". It matches the Rfam family "Bacterial small subunit ribosomal RNA", at positions 355 to 891 of the family's 1533-position model. The record is from RNAcentral.
UGGGGAAUAUUGGACAAUGGGCGCAAGCCUGAUCCAGCAAUGCCGCGUGGAUGAAGAAGGUUUUCGGAUUGUAAAGUCCUUUCGGCGGGGACGAUGAUGACGGUACCCGCAGAAGAAGCCCCGGCUAACUUCGUGCCAGCAGCCGCGGUAAUACGAAGGGGGCUAGCGUUGCUCGGAAUGACUGGGCGUAAACGGCGCGUAGGCGGUUUGCACAGUCGGGCGUGAAAUUCCAGGGCUCAACCUUGGGGCUGCGUUCGAGACGUGUGGGCUAGAGUGUGGAAGAGGGUCGUGGAAUUCCCAGUGUAGAGGUGAAAUUCGUAGAUAUUGGGAAGAACACCGGUGGCGAAGGCGGCGACCUGGUCCAUUUACUGACGCUGAGGCGCGAAAGCGUGGGGAGCAAACAGGAUUAGAUACCCUGGUAGUCCACGCUGUAAACGAUGUGCGCUGGAUGUUGGGCGGCCUAGCUGUUCAGUGUCGUAGCUAACGCGGUAAGCGCACCGCCUGGGGAGUACGGCCGCAA